GAUGUGUCAGAGUAGACCAAUGAUAGGGUGACCAAAUGUCCUGUUUUCCCAGGACAUGUCCUGUUUUUCACAUCCUGUCCUGGCCGUCCUGAGUUGUUUUUUGGAAAGUGAUGAAAAUGUCCUGGUUUUCAUUGUU
Molecule: long non-coding RNA, 136 nt
Organism: Thalassophryne amazonica
Lineage: Eukaryota; Metazoa; Chordata; Actinopteri; Batrachoidiformes; Batrachoididae
Exons: 4
Source: RefSeq, a predicted model, not a curated record